Molecule: long non-coding RNA, 74 nt
Organism: Maniola jurtina (meadow brown)
Lineage: Eukaryota; Metazoa; Arthropoda; Insecta; Lepidoptera; Nymphalidae
Exons: 3
Source: RefSeq, a predicted model, not a curated record
GAAAGUGUGUUUGUUUGUUGGUUUGUCCUUCAAUCACUCCGCAAGGGAGCAACAGAUUUACGUGAUAAUUUCAU